GCCGUAAAGCAUCGCCAAACACUUAACUCACGUAUCGCCAUCGAGACAGCUAGGCACUGGCUCCUAGCGACUGGAUUCGCAGUACCACAAAACUGUAUUAUCACUGCUUAACAACGGCAAUCACACAUCACGCCCCCCUAGUUUCUUUUUUGUUGUUUGUGACUCUUACCCCUCCUUUUGUUUUUUUAAUAGUUCCACGUUUUCACUCUCAAGGUAGAGUAGUAGAAACGGCUGCUACUUCCGGGGACUGCUAAACGAUCAGUUUCACUUCUGUUACUGUCUUCUCUGUUAACUUCGUCGCUGUUUCAACUGUACGGCUACAACUGCCCCAUCAACGAUGACAAACUUCGUCGGUCAACAUCUGUCUUCUUUGGCGACACGCAGAAGACGUCAUCCACAAUGAUUCCCUGUGAGGUGCCAUCUUAAACGGGGCGGAUGCAAGGAGCAUUUCUAUUGGUGGUGGAUUCGCCCAGCAGUAUCUGCAUCAGCAACUUCCAGAGGGAAAGUGUUGGGACGUGGUCAACAGAUCGAAUUCCUCCUCCAACUACUGUGUGGUCGUCACCAGGACAACAACCUCGACAACGACCGGAAAUUACGUCUAGCAGUGAUCGUAAGGGGUGGCAGGCGGUACUCUUCAACAUUUGUUCCCCCUUUUUUGCAUCUUUGCUGUUACAGUGGAGAGCCUCAGAUUAGCUUAAGACGGGACAGUUUUAGUAGACCCAACUGCAAGAGAAAAAAGAAAUACAAUUUUGAAAGAAAAUACUUCUAUCGCCCAUGUGACCUGUAAGGGUCUCUCUUACAUUGUUGCGACAUUAUUUAUUUUAAAUCUUACUACUAAGAUACAAGGCCCUUUCGAGGGUGGCUGUAAGUGUCAGUUGUUUUAACUUACUUCGUCUGAUAUAUUUUUACUAUUUUGGUUACAACGACUAAAACACUAAGUGUUCUACCAGAGUAGUGUUACUUUUGAAGAAGAAAUAUUAAGGAGUGUGAAGGGGGGUCCAGAAGUGCUGUUAUCAAGGGUGAAAACAGGUGUGUGAAUAGGAAUGAAAAGUGGUAAAUAGAGUGAUUUUGUGCGGAGAGUGAAGGGGGUAUUUUAUGCGUUUCAGUGGUUCCACGUUUCCUUAUUUUCGGGGAAGGGGUUGUGUGUGUCUUUGUGUUCGCUUUUCGACACGUCCUCCCUUAAGUUAUAAAGGUGAGGCAAGCAGUGAAUAAAGGUGGCGGUGGGGUGUGGUGGUGGAAGACGUCAUGAGUUCCUACUUUGCUAACUCAUACAUCCCGGACCUGCGUAAUGGUGGCGUGGUUUCUGCGGAGCAUCCCCAUCAGCACCAACAUUAUGGGGCGGCGGUGGUGGCGCAGGGUGGCGGGCCAGGUGGUGCCGUCACCUCAGAUCCCAGUUCCUGUGCGGGUGGUGACCACACUGUUGUCGGUCUCAGACAAGGUAUCCCUCCCCACCAUUAUGGGGGCCCUCCUGCCGCCGGCCAGCCGCCUCAGGGUAUGCCUUACCCCAGAUUCCCACCUUACGAUCGUAUGGAUAUUAGGAACGCGGCAUAUUAUGGGACCCAGCAGCAAGGCAACGGGGGUCUCAUGGCGGAUGGUAACGGUGCCAGCGGUGGGGGCGGCUAUAGGGCAAAUUCACCAAGUAACGGAGGGAUGGGACAUAUGGGAGGAGGUGGGCCCCCAAAUGGACAUCAAACACCAGUGGUCUUUACAAGCUGUAAGCUUCAAGCAGCCACAGUUGGGGGUCCUGGUGCCCUUGGUUCCGGAAGUCCACCUUUAGAAGGCCCACCGCAGGCAACGCUCAACAAUCACAGUCAUCAAAACCAUCACCACUCACAACAGCAACAUGCGAAUCACCAGCAGGGACCUCCACACCAUAUGCAAGCGAAUCACCAACACCAGCAUCCUCACCACAAUCACCAGGCGGCGCAGAAUCACCUCUUGUACAACAACGUGAGUCAGCAGCAAUGCGAGCAGGGUCCGCCCCAUCACCAGCAAGUGGUGGCACCCCACCAGCAGUCGCAACAGCCCCCGCAGCAAACGGGCCCUCAGCAGCCUCCACAGCAACCACCCAGCAACACCGCGUCCACCCUGCCCAGCCCGCUCUAUCCCUGGAUGAGAAGUCAGUUCGAGAGGAAGCGAGGAAGGCAGACAUACACGAGGUACCAGACCCUGGAGCUGGAGAAGGAAUUCCACUUCAACCGCUACCUGACUAGACGACGAAGAAUAGAGAUAGCCCACGCUCUGUGCCUCACGGAGCGGCAGAUCAAGAUCUGGUUCCAGAACAGACGCAUGAAGUGGAAGAAAGAAAAUAAAUCUAAACCAGACGGUGGUCAAAAUGGUGACGGAAAUGCAGGCUCGGACAUAACACCGCAAACCUCACCGCAGUAAAAUAAAAUAAUUGUUUUCCUCACAGACAUUUAUUUCAAGAGAAAAUGCUAACCCUUCAUACAUCUUUGAGACUGGGUUUUAGUUUCUGAAUUUUACCAGAAUAAGUAUAUUCUGAUGGAGCCAACUGAAAUUAUCCCAAGAAGAUCUGAAAACUACAUUAAUAGCAGUACAUGGACGUAACCUCACGAAGAAGGCCAAUCUGUCUGGAACAUAAUUAUUAAAGAAUUGACCAUUAAUUUUUCGUCCUCGUUGUUAAUUGUAUUCCUGUGGUUUCGCUUCCGUAAUCUCUCUUUUUGUGUGUUCAUUGUGCUCUCUUAGUGAUUGAAUAUUUUCACGACAUGGAUAUUCCUGAAUAUUUUCACGACAUGGAUAUUCCUCAAGUUAUUUAUUGCAUACUUAAACCAUUCACAAAGUUUAUGUUCGAAGACAUUUAAGGGAACAGAAGUCUGGCGAAAUAGUCUUACUAAAACCCCUCAUCACCACACAUGGGCUGGCUAUAAGAGUAGAGAGCUAUAAUUACAAAUAACCGACAUAUAUUUCUCGAUAAAAUUUCCCACUUUCUUUUAUUUAAGUAAUUUCAUGGAAAGAUAAUUAAGAAUACAGAUCCCUUUGAAGAACGGAGCCAUCGUCAAUAUGUAUACAAAUGAUGUAUUUCUGGUAAAGUGUGGAUUAAGUAUUCCAACUCUGAGAUUGUGAUCGGAGAGACUAAUUAUAUGACCCUUUCCAGAGAUGGUCAUUAAGCGUGGCCUGAGGAAGAGAAAUAAUAAUUAUCUCAGCAACAUCGAAUAAAAUAAAAAAAACUUAAAUGAAUCAGUAUCCAGUAACAUGUUACAUGUGAAGUCCAAACAUGAAGCUCUGAUGACAGACAUUGGAAAGCUUUAUGCAAAAAAGAAAAAGAGAACGGUAAAGUGAGAGAAACACUGGAAAUGAAUCGACAUACGUAAGGUAUCCCACCAUUUCGGAUGUAUGACAUAUAUAGAAAGAAUAAAAAUCCGCAGAAAAGUAGAUUUCACAGUGGAGUCCAGUCAUCAGUGACAAGAGAAGGGGAAGAUAGAAGAAUGUUGCACCCAUUGAGCACCUGCAGUUCAAUAAGGUUAUUAAUUAAAACUUCAAAUAACACAAGAAGUUCUGUAAUUUACAUGCGCGAUCUAACCGAAAUUGCUUACUUGAAUGUGCAGAAUGUUUCAAAUCUCCCUUCUUUCAACAUUUAGUGCAAUCAAGAAGUUAUGAUAAAUAGUAUAAUCGAAGAUUUUAGUGCCAACAGCAGUGAAUAAUUUUCAGUAUCACACUACCAGUGGAAGUGCUCCUGUUCAAGUGUAAUACAUCCCACUUCACAGCUUAGUAAAUAUAGCAUCGAUACAGAAGUUUCCAUCAGCUGAACAUCGCACAGCAGCAGUCCGACUUCUUCACAAAGUGAUUAUAUGAAUUAUACCAAAUCAUCAAUAACGCCUGUAGAUCCUGGACUUCGUAUCACCUAGCAAGCUCAAACUUCUGGAAAUGACUCCAGCGUCCACAACAAAAGCAGGUAGAGUGUUCCAAUGGAGUCAACUGUAAUCCACAUGCCAAUAGUAUGGACAUACCCAUCUCACCGCCAGUUUAUGGAGUUCUAAGCAAACAGCAGUCUAUUGGAUACACGUGGCAACACUGUGGGAUAGCCCCUGGGUUGGACAACUGCAACAGACCAUCUCUCUCCAUACAUAAGUAUAAGGAGAGAGAAGGUCCAUUACAUGAGCAAGAAGGAGGAGGCCUUUAAGAAAACGAUGACUUCCUGCCUGACAGAAUACAUAAUAAAAAGUCUACAUUACAUCGGUAGAGACAGCAGCUGAAAUAUCACGUGAUAAUAUCUGUUUUAUACCCAACAUAAAAUGUUAUUUUGAUGUUGUUAGUUGGCCAGCAAAGGAAGAUCGCAUCAUGUCGCCCUCCGGCAUUAACAAUUUCCAUACUCUCUGCUAUAUCAUUAUUCUAAUAGGCUUCAAUAUCAGCUCCUCGUAAACUGAAAGACAGUUGUAUCUAGCCUAUAAUUUGGUCCUUGGUAGUUUCGCAAUCCCACAUUUUGUAUCUCUGAGAAGUACAGUUCACCGAAUAAAUAACGGAAACACUUUUCGUAAUUCUGUUCUCACAUUAAAUAUAAUUAAGCUGACAAAGUAAAGUAUGGUGAGAUGGACAGGGCAUGUAGCACGGACGUGGGCGAAGAGGAAUGCAUAUAGAAUUUUAAUGGAAAAACCAAAUGGGAAAAGACCACUGCGAAGACUUAACCGUAGGUGGGAGGAUAAUAUUAAAACGGAUCUUAGCAAGAUAACAUAGGAUGAUAUGGACUGGAUUCAUCUGGCUGAGGAUGGGGACCAGUGGAAGGCUCUUACGAACAUGUUACUGAACCUUUGGCUUCCAUAAAAUGUUGGGAAGUUCUUGAGUAGCUGAGAACCUAGUGGCUUCCCAAGAAGGACCCAACUCAAUGAAAGUUGUACUUACUUGGAGAAGUAUAGAUUAUCCGAUAAAUAAAGGAUAUACUUCCCUCGUAGUUCUAUCUUGACAUUUUGUAUUAGGUUUUGUAGUAGUUGUUAGUUAGUAGUUCCUAGCAGGGUUUCCCUUAACCCUUUAAAGUACAGUGGUUGCUAUACAUACCACAUAUUUCUUAACAUUAAAUAACUCUGCGUUCUACUCCUAGAAUAUAAUUUGCCUCUUCUAUGAUUUGCAGAAUAAGUAGCCAUUGUUUAUCUGAACUGCAUGAAUCAUGUGCAUAUGCGUCCACCUGAAUUAGGAGAAUGCAGCCAUUCAGUUCGUUGGUCAAGGAAAGUGAAGUAUAUUAGAAUUACUUUUGAUGGAAACUCGUCUGAAAUAAACAUAUGGAGAGCGUAGCAAAGAACACGUUAGCAAGAAUUUCAGAGGAUUAGCAGAAUCGAAAUCAGGAACAUGAACCUGGACCCUUGCACUCUUUGCAGAUACUGCGUUGACUCAUCCAUCCAGUGGUUAUAUGGCCCUCAUCCCUCAGCUGCUGUUCGCCUUCAGUUCCCUCAGUUCAUAGGUGAUGACUUCCAGUACUGCCGAGUUACUUGAAGCCCAGUCUAUCGCACCGUACACAGUUUUCCCGUUAGUCCUCCUUACUUCAAAUUACACUUUGAACAGAGGCAUACCGCGGAGAUAUUACAGGUUCGGUUCCAGAUCACGACAAUAAAGCGAGUCAUACACAUUUUUUGGUUUCCCAGUGCAUAUAAAAGUUAUGCUUACACUAUACUUUAGUUUAUUAAUUGUGCAAUAGCAUUAUG
This is an RNA transcript of Cryptotermes secundus, 5651 nucleotides long. It is a transcript of the gene named homeotic protein antennapedia, with no coding region annotated. The transcript has 5 exons. The record is from RefSeq and is a predicted model, not a curated record. NCBI's taxonomy places the organism in Eukaryota, Metazoa, Arthropoda, Insecta, Blattodea, Kalotermitidae.